AGUGAACGCUGGCGGUAGGCCUAACACAUGCAAGUCGAACGGCAGCACAGUAAGAGCUUGCUCUUACGGGUGGCGAGUGGCGGACGGGUGAGGAAUACAUCGGAAUCUACUUUUUCGUGGGGGAUAACGUAGGGAAACUUACGCUAAUACCGCAUACGACCUACGGGUGAAAGAAGGGGAUCUUCGGACCUUGCGCGAUUGAAUGAGCCGAUGUCGGAUUAGCUAGUUGGAGGGGUAAAGGCCCACCAAGGCGACGAUCCGUAGCUGGUCUGAGAGGAUGAUCAGCCACACUGGAACUGAGACACGGUCCGGACUCCUACGGGAGGCAGCAGUGGGGAAUAUUGGACAAUGGGCGCAAGCCUGAUCCAGCCAUACCGCGUGGGUGAAGAAGGCCUUCGGGUUGUAAAGCCCUUUUGUUGGGAAAGAAAAGCAGCAGGUUAAUACCCCGCUGUUCUGACGGUACCCAAAGAAUAAGCACCGGCUAACUUCGUG
Molecule: ribosomal RNA, 492 nt
Filed under: uncultured bacterium
Lineage: Bacteria
Description: partial 16S ribosomal RNA
Rfam family: Bacterial small subunit ribosomal RNA
Source: RNAcentral